AUACGGGAGGCAGCAGUGAGGAAUUUUCCGCAAUGGACGCAAGUCUGAGCGAGCAACGCCGCGUGCAGGAGGAAGCUCUUCGGAGUGUAAACUGCUUUUAUCGGGGAAGAGCAAGGACGGUACCUGGUGAAGAAGCCCCGGCUAACUACGUGCCAGCAGCCGCGGUAAUACGUAGGGGGCGAGCGUUGUCCGGAGUUACUGGGCGUAAAGGGCAUGCAGGCGGUCUGCUAAGUUCGGAGUGACAGUCACCAGCUUAACUGGUGAAGGACUUUGAAAACUGGCGGACUUGAGAGCGAGAGAGGGACACGGAAUUCCGGGUGGAGCAGUGAAAUGCGUAGAGAUCCGGAAGAACACCGAAGGCGAAGGCGGUGUCCUGGUUCGUUUCUGACGCUGAGGGGCGAAAGCCAGGGGAGCGAACGGGAUUAGAUACCCCCGUAC
Molecule: ribosomal RNA, 438 nt
Filed under: uncultured bacterium
Lineage: Bacteria
Description: bacterial SSU rRNA
Rfam family: Bacterial small subunit ribosomal RNA
Source: RNAcentral